GCGCGGUAAGCGCGCUGGACAUAGCCGGGCGAGUGGAGGCCAGCCAAUCAUGGUCACACCACAGAAGUUUUGCUUGAAGUGGAACAACUUCAAGAACAGUGUCACAUCUGUUUUUGAUAAUCUUCGUCAAGAUGAGGAGCUAGUGGACAUUACACUGUGUUGUGAGGGGAAGAAGAUAAAGGCACACAGGAUGAUGCUAUCUGCCUGCAGCCCAUAUUUCAGAGAUCUUCUGAAAGACAAUCCAUGCCAGCAUCCACUUUUCUUCCUCAAGGACACAUCAUAUGUGGACAUUGCAGCAGUCAUUGAGUUUGUGUACAAGGGUGAGGUCAAUGUCCUCCAGAGUCAGCUGGGCAGCUUUCUGAAGACUGCAGAGAUGCUCCAAGUCAAAGGUCUAUCAGGAGAUGAUGAUGAUGAACAGGUGCCCCGAUCUCAGCCGGCGGCGGCGGUGGUCCGCGAG
Molecule: long non-coding RNA, 457 nt
Organism: Pollicipes pollicipes
Lineage: Eukaryota; Metazoa; Arthropoda; Thecostraca; Pollicipedomorpha; Pollicipedidae
Exons: 4
Source: RefSeq, a predicted model, not a curated record